GACAGAGGGUGCAAACGUUGUUCGGAAUUACUGGGCGUAAAGCGCGUGUAGGCGGCGAGGCAAGUCGGGUGUGAAAGCCCUGGGCUCAACCCAGGAAGUGCACUCGAUACUGCCUAGCUAGAGUCCCGGAGAGGUUGGUGGAACUCUCGGUGUAGAGGUGAAAUUCGUAGAUAUCGAGAAGAACACCGGUGGCGAAGGCGGUUCUCUGGGACGGUACUGACGCUGAGACGCGAAAGCGUGGGGAGCGAACAGG
Molecule: ribosomal RNA, 253 nt
Filed under: uncultured bacterium
Lineage: Bacteria
Description: partial 16S ribosomal RNA
Rfam family: Bacterial small subunit ribosomal RNA
Source: RNAcentral